RNAcentral lists this unclassified non-coding RNA (642 nucleotides) under Hevea brasiliensis (rubber tree). Lineage: Eukaryota; Viridiplantae; Streptophyta; Magnoliopsida; Malpighiales; Euphorbiaceae. The record is from RNAcentral.
UACAAUGUUGAGCCCAAAACUAGCCAUCAGGAUAAAGUUGGAAAAUGUAGCUAAAACAGAAUAUCGUUUAGACCAAUAACUUGGGAUUUUCCAGAAAUCCAAAACUGGACCAGCCUAUCAAAUCCCAGAAAAUUCCACUUUUAGACGAAAACAGAUCAAAGUUCAAUUUAAACGCUGCACUGCUAAUAAUUUUUUGUCUAAUGAUCAUAUGUGCCAAUAUAACUUUGAUAAAACACUCUCCACUCCGCCAACAAUGCAUAUAGUACCAUUACAACACAACAAAAUCCUAAACUAAAAUAGGAGGAUCCACAUUAGUUCAAAACCCUAGCGAAUUCGAAAUUAGAUGUUGCAGAGCACAAAGGCAAACCUAAUAAAGACUUCACCACUUGAUAGAAUCCUUUUCAUCAGAGAACUUUCGCAGCACAACUGUAGCAACCCUAAUCAUUGUUGCUGCUGAUUCUGCUGCUGCUGUUGGGGAUUGAGAGGAGGUGGCAUACCAGGACGAGGAGGUCCAUAAAUAGGAACCCCACCAGCCUGAGGGGGCAUCCCAGGACGAGGAGGAGGUGGGGCUGGCAUUCCAGGCCUUGGAGCAGGAGGCCCUCUCAUCAUCGGUGCCUGUGGCUGGGGUGGCAUUCCCAUUGG